GGCUGCUGCUUCAAGGCGGGAGAGAUACAUAGUCCUCCUGAGCAUCGGGAGCAAGGAGGGGUGGAGAGUGAGGGGAGGCAGAAAGAAAGAAGAGAGUGUGGGUGAUAAUGGUGAGAACGACCGAGGAGAGAGGGUUGGAGAGAGACCGGGAAGAGAGAGUGGGAACUACACGCCGGGCCAUUAAUUGGGCCGUAGCUCGCUUGGAGCCAGGGUAAGCUGACUGGCCGCCCUCCCCGGGAGCCACAGCUCCCGCCGGUUCCUGCCGCUCUGGCUCAGCC
Bos taurus (domestic cattle) is the source of this 278-nucleotide long non-coding RNA. The record is from Ensembl. Lineage: Eukaryota; Metazoa; Chordata; Mammalia; Artiodactyla; Bovidae.